Molecule: long non-coding RNA, 303 nt
Filed under: Zostera marina
Lineage: Eukaryota; Viridiplantae; Streptophyta; Magnoliopsida; Alismatales; Zosteraceae
Description: long non-coding RNA (ZMAR_LNC003506)
Source: RNAcentral
CAUGUUCACGGUCGUGAACUUCACAUCCGGAUACAACGCCAUCCUGGGAAGGACGGCGCUGCACGCUUUCCAGGCAGUAAUGUCGUCGCUCCACCAGUGCCUCAAGUUCCCAACCGAUGGAGGGGUUUGCACAGUCCGGGGGUCCUAGAAGAAGGCGCGCGAGUGCUACUUCAAUUCGGUCGGCGAAGUAAUGACGUCAGGCGAAGGCCUACCCCACUCGAUGCGGGAACACAUUGCAAGACCCGAGCUGGCAUCCCACACGACCCAAGUGGCCCUCGGUCAGAACGAGGUGCGAAUGGGAAG